UGGUGCAAAAGUAAUUGCGGUUUUUGCCAUUACUUUUAAUGGCAAAAACCGCAAUUACUUUUGCACCAA
This 69-nucleotide microRNA precursor is filed under the name Aotus nancymaae (Ma's night monkey). RNAcentral describes it as "miRNA (ENSANAG00000001162.1)". Lineage: Eukaryota; Metazoa; Chordata; Mammalia; Primates; Aotidae. The record is from RNAcentral.